GGCACAGAAACACAUCCUGUGAAAACGAAGGUUGGCUCGAAGUAAACAGCAGUUCUACCAUCAGAAAACACAGUGAAGGCUACGUACUGAGCUUUACAUACAAGGAUGUUCACUGCAGCGUUGAAGAUAACAGCCAAUACUUGGAAACAACCCUAAUGUCCGAUAGGGAAAGCGAUGGGUAAUUGUCGCAAAUCCUUGUAAUGGAAUAUUGUGCAGCCAAUAAAAGCCAUGACUGUGAAGCUCCUUUAAUAGCACCGAAAUGGAGGAGCAGAAAUGACACCUGCCGUCCUAUGUGCUCCCCACUGUGGCAUCUCUGCAGAGAGCAGAAGCUGCCCGAUACCUGACUUCUGAGUAAGUGGAGGAUGGCUGAGUAUAACUCUGCACCUGUAGCUGUGACCUACAUAUUCACUCACUCAAUCAAUCAUAAUUUUGAGCCCCUAAUCUGCAUCAAUCACAGUUUGAGAUGCUGGGGACACAGCAAUGGAUGUGAUAAACAAGGCCCCUGAGGUCAAAGUUGGGGGAGAGGAACAAUAAAUCCACAGGAUGGUCCUUUUCCUGUUCUAGAUCCACCAGAAACCACCAGGCCUGGGGCCAUCACCCGCCAUAAAGGAUAUGGAACAGAAACCUGCCCAGGGUCUAUCUUCCUGCCACGCCCGCAUCAGCCCAUCCAGCCCUGCUCCCCCCAUCAGCCCAUCCGGCUUCUGGAAGCAGCAGGGGGAGAAGUUUUUCCAGAGACAACUCUUCAUUAAAUCGCCUGUCCAAGAAUCUGCACCUGCACCUCCCUCAGCUGCCACCCGAAUCUCUGACCUCAACGAAUCCCUAUGCCAGGGGAAUGCAAGACUGAUUGGCCACAGGCCUGGGGCUCUGUACUCCCCUGAGCCUGGGUGGGGAGUGAUUCCUCAAGGACAAGGAGAAGGGAGAGGGCUGAGCAGUGGUCCCCAAGGGAAGUGGCACUGGGGGUGGGGCAGAACCAUCACGCGUUACCGAUGGUGGGGUCAGAAUCAGGGGGCCUGAGAUAUAUGCUAUUGGGUCCCACCCUAUAGCCCUGCCCACGUCCUUCAGCUGUGGAGAGCGUGGGCUGCCAGCUGGGCCCUUUUCUGGGGAAUCAUCCUCAGCUGAGGAAGCUGACUGCUGACUCACCUGAAAAAUGCCUGCGAGGUCUCACCUUUCCCUGGGAUGACCUGCAGCCAGUCACUGGCUGACACAUGGGUACAAAAGGUCUGGCUCAUUCGAGGAGGCAGGACAGUCAUGUGGUGCCACAGAGGACACUCCAGAGCUCCCCAUGGGCCCAGAUCAGGGCUAGACUAGACCAAGUCCAUGCCCUGGCCUGGCUUCUUGCCCACCCUCCGCUACUUCCCUCACUCCCCUUCUUCUGAGCGUGCGCCCUCUGCAAUCUCACAUGUCCCCGUAAGUCCCCAUCUCAGGCUCUGCUUCUAGGGAGCCUAACCUAUGCAGAAGGCCAAGCUGGCUCUCGCCUGCACACCUGCCCCAUGCAAGCUUCCCCUUGGAUCUUCUUCCCUGCAUGGGGAAAUUGGUCCUACCCCACCAGGCUCCAAGGUGUGCAGCCAGCAUCAUCUUGGAAUCCCUCUCAAACCCAGACUCCCACCAAGAACUCAAUUCUCCCCACAUCUGCUCCAGGUCCUUAGGAAACUCAACAUCCAAAUCCCUUUCAUCUCCAGGUUGAUUAACAGAAGAUUAUAAGCAAGCUUCAGAAGGAAGAAAAACCAGUGUCUCCCCAGGGCAGACACUGUCUGUUGACAAAUACCACCAAUAUAUAUUUUUCUCAUUUUUGUAUAGAUAUACAGAACUAAGCCGAUUAAUAUAUUCUUCUUUCCCUCUUAGGUCUAGGACUGCAAUGGGAAUCUUUCUGCCCCAUGGUGAACUGUGUACCAGGUUUCAAUAAAGGUUUUAUCUUUGCAAUUACAGUUCAUUAAUAAAUUUACAAGGGAAGGAAGAUGGCGAGGUCUGUCUAAGAGGAUUGUUUCGCAUUUCUUCUCUUUUAAUUACAGUUAUCUCCUGAACCAAAGCUCUUUGAAAAACAGAGAGAAAAAAGACACCCUUUCCCCAUCUGUUCCAGAUAUGGGUACAAUUAAUAAGGGAGGAGACAGGAGCUGCUCCUGGGCUUCCUGCAAACUGAGACCUCACCACCUCCUCUUCAGAGCUGCCCUGUGGGUGGGAGUCUUGGCCACCAGAGCUCAGCUGGCAUCAGGCACCUGGAGCCUUGGAAAAUGAAACUGCAGAUAAGGGAGGACUACCGUAUUCAUGUAACCAGAGAGAAAACAAAUUUCCACAAUUCUUCCAACUUCCCCGUGAGUGCCUGCUCCUUGAUGGACUGGACUCUAAGCCCUUCUUUGCAGCAAGCACGAUAUCAAGCUUUGUCAGUAGAGGGCGCCGGAGGGACACUGUGGAGGAAGGGGCCUUUUCAUGGUCCACAGAGCUCUGUUGUGCAAUUUCUUGUUCCUGUUGCAUCUUCUCUUAGGGUAUGAACGCGGGGGGACAUCCUCUGGGGCUUUUCCUCAGCUGUGCACCCAGAAUGCAUGGUCCCUCGACCACCUCAUAGCCCAUCCUGAGCCCAGUGCCCAUCUUGCUGUGGUCCAGCCCACACCUCCACCUGCACGUGCACACCACUCUCUCUCCUGUGCCCAGAGAGGUGUUUCCUGCCUGCCAGCCUGACCUGCAUCUAUGAACCAGCACCUCUGGGACCCAAUACCUUCUCUGCCAUUCAAGGGGCUGCAGCCACAGACAUCCAGCGAAGUCAGGACCCCAGCCUCGGGGGCAGGUCCUUCCAAGGUUGUCUUCUUCAGCCCUAGGGUGCUGUUCCGAUUCUUCCUGACAUCAUUUUAGGCACUCUUCUAUCAUAGUUUAAUAAUUAUGUAUAGAAAAUGUCUCCUAUUCAGAUCACUGUGUGGUUUCUGUGUCUUUAUUGAAAUCUGAUGGACUGAUCCCCAGGAAGACCCCUCAGGCACCCUGGAGAGAAUGGAAGCUCCCUAAUCCAAAGAGUGAGUGUGAGUCCAUCUCAGUCACCGUGUGUCUGCUGCAUGGCUGAGGCCACGUGACUGCACCUCCCUGGGCUCAGUUUGCUCACCCAGGAAAUGCGGAGAAAGCUUCCUUCUCCAAUGGAUGCUGAGACUGCGAAAUGAGACCAUGCAUAUGAAGCACAGAGCAUGGGGCCAGGUACCUGCCGGUGUUCAAGAUGGUAGAACUGCACCUUCGUAAGUGUGGUGGGCAUCACAUGGGACAGUGUGUGGAGUGACCGGCAUGGGGCCUGGGGGGAAGUGGAGGCUCAAAACCCAACCUCCCUCCCUCUCUCCCUCCUGUCCUCCUUCUCUCCCAGGACACCCCUCCCUCAGGCCCCCAAGGCUCUAGUUUCUCUCCCCAAGUCCCCCUGUGUGGUGGUUAAUACUGAGUGUCAACUUGAUUGGAUCGAAGAUGCAAAGUAUUGAUCCUGGGUGUGUCUGUGAGGGUGUUGCCAAAGGAGAUUAACAUUUGAGUCAGUGGGCUGCAGAAGGCAGACCCACCCUUAAUCUGGUGGGCACCAUCUAAUCAGCUGCCAGCGAAUAUACAGCAGGAAGAAAAACGUGAAAAGGUGAGACUGGCCUAGGUUCCCAGCCUACGUCUUUCUCCCGUGCUAGAUGCUUCCUGCCCUCGAACAUCAGACUCCAAGUUCUUCAGUUUUGAGACUUAGACAGGUUCUCCUUGCUCCUCAAGCUUGCAGACGGCCUAUUGUGGGACCUUGUGAUCAUGU
RNAcentral lists this long non-coding RNA (3745 nucleotides) under Homo sapiens (human). Its description in RNAcentral is "HSALNT0004038". Lineage: Eukaryota; Metazoa; Chordata; Mammalia; Primates; Hominidae. The record is from RNAcentral.